Molecule: ribosomal RNA, 435 nt
Filed under: uncultured Clostridium sp.
Lineage: Bacteria; Bacillati; Bacillota; Clostridia; Eubacteriales; Clostridiaceae
Description: partial 16S ribosomal RNA
Rfam family: Bacterial small subunit ribosomal RNA
Source: RNAcentral
ACGGGAGGCAGCAGUGGGGAAUAUUGCACAAUGGGGGAAACCCUGAUGCAGCAACGCCGCGUGAGCGAAGAAGGUCUUCGGAUCGUAAAGCUCUGUCCUUAGGGACGAAGAAGUGACGGUACCUAAGGAGGAAGCCCCGGCUAACUACGUGCCAGCAGCCGCGGUAAUACGUAGGGGGCGAGCGUUAUCCGGAAUUAUUGGGCGUAAAGAGUACGUAGGCGGUUUUGUAAGCGUAAGGUGAAUGCCUGGGGCUUAACUCCAGCGAGCCUUACGAACUGCAAGACUUGAGUGCAGGAGGGGUAGGUGGAAUUCCUAGUGUAGCGGUGAAAUGCGUAGAUAUUAGGAAGAACACCAGUGGCGAAGGCGAUCUACUGGACAGUAACUGACGCUGAGGCGCGAGAGCGUGGGGAGCAAACAGGAUUAGAUACCCUGGUA